This 253-nucleotide ribosomal RNA is filed under the name uncultured bacterium. RNAcentral's name for it is "partial 16S ribosomal RNA". It matches the Rfam family "Bacterial small subunit ribosomal RNA", at positions 524 to 776 of the family's 1533-position model. The record is from RNAcentral.
UACGGAGGGUGCAAGCGUUAUCCGGAUUCACUGGGUUUAAAGGGUGUGUAGGCGGGCUGUUAAGUCAGUGGUGAAAUCUCCGGGCUCAACCCGGAAACUGCCAUUGAUACUAAUGGUCUUGAAUUUUGUUGAGGUAGGCGGAAUUGAUUGUGUAGCGGUGAAAUGCAUAGAUACAAUCAAGAACACCGAUUGCGUAGGCAGCUUACUAGGCUGUAACUGACGCUGAGGCACGAAAGCGUGGGGAGCGAACAGG